This is a non-coding RNA of Oryza glumipatula, 204 nucleotides long. NCBI's taxonomy places the organism in Eukaryota, Viridiplantae, Streptophyta, Magnoliopsida, Poales, Poaceae. The record is from Rfam.
CCCAAAAACAAACCCUGGUUUCCGUGCCUAACGUUUGACCGUCUAUUUUAUUUAAAAAAAUUAUAAAAAAAAUUAAAAAGACAAGUCACGCACAAAGUAUUAAUCAUGUUUUAUCAUCUAACAACAAUAAAAAUACGAAUUAUAAAAAAAUUCAUAUAAGACGGACAGUCAAAGUUGGAUAAAAAACCACAGGAUUUGCUUUUU